UUUCAAUGGACCAUCUGAACAGUUUACCAUACAUCCCAUCACUGAGCACUUUUCAUAUGCAGCUUCCCAAGAGGGGAAUUUCUUCUUCUUGGCUACAUGAUCCAGGACUGCUUCUGCUAUGGGUGUAUUAUUCAUUGCCGUGGUGCUUGUGACAAUGAUAGAAAGGGACCACGACUGAAUGUGUCCUGUGGGCUGGUGGAGAUCAGUUCGGGUACAGAGAAGCCAAGGCACUUAGUGAACCUGAGACGAGGCACGUGAGGCUGGCGCUUCACACGUUGUUUGCUUUGCUGAGUCUUUGCGCUGAAAGAGUGGCCACGCCAUCCUGGAGGCGUUCGGCACUGACUGGAUGUUUUAUGGCAGUAAAUGAAGAUGUUGAAACUAAAGCACAGGAAGAUCAAGCAACUUGCCCAAGGUCACACACAGCUAGUAGGGAGCAGAGCUGAGACGUCAUAGAAUACCAAGAUGCUGCUGAAUGAAAUAAUGUGUGCAAUAUGCCAAUCAACUGUCUAUCACAUACUAGGGCUCUUUCCCAAUGAAAACAGCCAGAGGACUUGGUUCUACCUGGCACUAAGGGAGAAGCAUGAGACAGUGAGGAGAAGAACUGUGCCUGUCCCCAUGAACCCAUGGAUGAAUACCAUCUGGUCCUGGUGAUUUAUUGCACAGAGUCCCUCAAGUUGCUCCAUCCCUUUCUCCUCAGAGACUGAAGAAUCUCUGUCAAGGCCGUUCUCUGCUUUGCCAUAAAAUGUGUCCUUGGAACAGGAAUUUCCCCAUUGUCUUCUCCA
Molossus molossus (Pallas's mastiff bat) is the source of this 782-nucleotide long non-coding RNA. RefSeq lists it as uncharacterized. NCBI's taxonomy places the organism in Eukaryota, Metazoa, Chordata, Mammalia, Chiroptera, Molossidae. The record is from RefSeq and is a predicted model, not a curated record. The transcript has 6 exons.